This 333-nucleotide ribosomal RNA is filed under the name uncultured bacterium. Its description in RNAcentral is "partial 16S ribosomal RNA". It matches the Rfam family "Bacterial small subunit ribosomal RNA", at positions 338 to 682 of the family's 1533-position model. The record is from RNAcentral.
CCUACGGGAGGCAGCAGUCGAGAAUCAUUCACAAUGGGGGAAACCCUGAUGGGGCGACGCCGCGUGGGGGAAUGAAGGUCUGCGGAGUGUAAACCCCUGUCAUGUGGGAGCAAAUUAAAAAGAUAGUACCACAAGAGGAAGAGACGGCUAACGCUGUGCCAGCAGCCGCGGUAAUACAGAGGUCUCAAGCGUUGUUCGGAACCACUGGGCGUAAAGCGUGCGUAGGCUGUUUCGUAAGUCGUGUGUGAAAGGCGCGGGCUCAACCCGCGGACGGCACCUGAUACUGCGAGACUAGAGUAAUGGCGGGGGAACCUGAAUUCUCGGUGUAGCCGU